GACGGAGGGUGCUAGCGUUGUUCGGAAUUACUGGGCGUAAAGGGCGCGUAGGCGGCCUGCUAAGUCGGUUGUGAAAGCCCGGGGCUCAACCCCGGAACGGCAGCCGAGACUGGCGGGCUCGAGACCGGGAGAGGAGGGUGGAAUACCCAGUGUAGAGGUGAAAUUCGUAGAUAUUGGGUGGAACACCGGUGGCGAAAGCGGCUCUCUGGCCCGGUUCUGACGCUGAGGCGCGAAAGCGUGGGGAGCAAACAGG
RNAcentral lists this ribosomal RNA (253 nucleotides) under uncultured bacterium. Its description in RNAcentral is "partial 16S ribosomal RNA". It matches the Rfam family "Bacterial small subunit ribosomal RNA", at positions 524 to 776 of the family's 1533-position model. The record is from RNAcentral.